CCUACGGGCGGCAGCAGUGGGGAAUAUUGGACAAUGGGGGGAACCCUGAUCCAGCGACGCCGCGUGAGUGAAGAAGUAUUUCGGUAUGUAAAGCUCUAUCAGCAGGGAAGAAAGGAAUGACGGUACCUGACUAAGAAGCCCCGGCUAACUACGUGCCAGCAGCCGCGGUAAUACGUAGGGGGCAAGCGUUAUCCGGAUUUACUGGGUGUAAAGGGAGCGUAGACGGUUACGCAAGUCUGGAGUGAAAGGCGGGGGCCCAACCCCCGGACUGCUUUGGAAACUGUAUAACUGGAGUGCAGGAGAGGGAAGUGGAAUUCCUAGUGUAGCGGUGAAAUGCGUAGAUAUUAGGAGGAACACCAGUGGCGAAGGCGGCUUACUGGACUGUAACUGACGUUGAGGAGCGAAAGCGUGGGUAGCAAACAGGAUUAGAUACCCGAGUAGUC
Molecule: ribosomal RNA, 443 nt
Filed under: uncultured bacterium
Lineage: Bacteria
Description: partial 16S ribosomal RNA
Rfam family: Bacterial small subunit ribosomal RNA
Source: RNAcentral